CUAAUGUGGGUCAAGCGGCGGCGGUAAGCCGGAGGGGGCGAGCGUUGCUGGGGGUUAUUGGGCGUAAAGAGGUCGGAGGGGGUGCGGUAAGGCGGGUGUGAAACCGCCAGGCGCAACCUGGGGACGCCACCCGAUAAUGCAGUGACUAGAGUCCAGUAGGGGAGCGUGGAAUUCCUGGUGUAGCGGUGAAAUGCGCAGAUAUCAGGAGGAACACCAGCGGCGAAGGCGGCGCUCUGGGCUGGCACUGACACUGAGGAGCGAAAGCGUGGGGAGCGAACAGGAUUAGAUACCCUAGUAGUC
Molecule: ribosomal RNA, 300 nt
Filed under: uncultured Desulfurococcus sp.
Lineage: Archaea; Thermoproteati; Thermoproteota; Thermoprotei; Desulfurococcales; Desulfurococcaceae
Description: bacterial SSU rRNA
Rfam family: Bacterial small subunit ribosomal RNA
Source: RNAcentral